Molecule: unclassified non-coding RNA, 253 nt
Filed under: uncultured Caryophanales bacterium
Lineage: Bacteria; Bacillati; Bacillota; Bacilli; Caryophanales
Description: uncultured Bacillales bacterium contains 16S-23S intergenic spacer region
Rfam family: Bacterial small subunit ribosomal RNA
Source: RNAcentral
UACGUAGGUGGCAAGCGUUGUCCGGAAUUAUUGGGCGUAAAGCGCGCGCAGGCGGUUCCUUAAGUCUGAUGUGAAGGCUCCCGGCUCAACCGGGGAGGGUCAUUGGAAACUGGCAGACUUGAGUGCAGAAGAGGAGAGUGGGAUUCCAUGUGUAGCGGUGAAAUGCGCAGAGAUAUGGAGGAACACCAGUGGCGAAGGCGGCUCUCUGGUCUGCAACUGACGCUGAGGCGCGAAAGCGUGGGGAGCAAACAGG